This 164-nucleotide unclassified non-coding RNA is filed under the name Caeoma tsukubaense. RNAcentral's name for it is "partial ITS1". The record is from RNAcentral. Lineage: Eukaryota; Fungi; Basidiomycota; Pucciniomycetes; Pucciniales.
UAAAAAGUUCAAGAGUGCACUUUAUUGUGGCUCUAAACCUUUUCAAUAUACCUUUCACCCUUUUUUAAACCCAAAGCUGUUAUGUGUACCUGUUAUUUUAUAAUGGGUAUAGCAUCUCAGUAGUACGCAUCAUGUGAAUUUUAUUCACAAGUUGCAUUACCCCC